Molecule: ribosomal RNA, 465 nt
Filed under: Vreelandella stevensii
Lineage: Bacteria; Pseudomonadati; Pseudomonadota; Gammaproteobacteria; Oceanospirillales; Halomonadaceae
Description: partial 16S ribosomal RNA
Rfam family: Bacterial small subunit ribosomal RNA
Source: RNAcentral
CCUACGGGUGGCUGCAGUGGGGAAUAUUGGACAAUGGGGGGAACCCUGAUCCAGCCAUGCCGCGUGUGUGAAGAAGGCCCUCGGGUUGUAAAGCACUUUCAGUGAGGAAGAACGCCUGGUGGUUAAUACCCAUCAGGAAAGACAUCACUCACAGAAGAAGCACCGGCUAACUCCGUGCCAGCAGCCGCGGUAAUACGGAGGGUGCGAGCGUUAAUCGGAAUUACUGGGCGUAAAGCGCGCGUAGGUGGCUUGAUAAGCCGGUUGUGAAAGCCCCGGGCUCAACCUGGGAACGGCAUCCGGAACUGUCAAGCUAGAGUGCAGGAGAGGAAGGUAGAAUUCCCGGUGUAGCGGUGAAAUGCGUAGAGAUCGGGAGGAACACCAGUGGCGAAGGCGGCCUUCUGGACUGACACUGACACUGAGGUGCGAAAGCGUGGGUAGCAAACAGGAUUAGAUACCCCUGUAGUC